UACGUAGGGCGCAAGCGUUGUCCGGAAUUAUUGGGCGUAAAGAGCUCGUAGGCGGUCUGUCGCGUCGGAUGUGAAAAUCCAGGGCUUAACCCUGGGCCUGCAUUCGAUACGGGCAGACUAGAGUUCGGUAGGGGAGACUGGAAUUCCUGGUGUAGCGGUGAAAUGCGCAGAUAUCAGGAGGAACACCGGUGGCGAAGGCGGGUCUCUAGGCCGACACUGACGCUGAGGAGCGAAAGCGUGGGGAGCGAACAGG
Molecule: ribosomal RNA, 253 nt
Filed under: uncultured bacterium
Lineage: Bacteria
Description: partial 16S ribosomal RNA
Rfam family: Bacterial small subunit ribosomal RNA
Source: RNAcentral